UUACAGUAUAGGACUCAAGAUGCAGCCAUCUGACUUUUAUUUUGGACCCCUACACACUUGACUAAAAUGGUCCAAUCCUCCCCAUGGAUGGUACGAAGCUUGGCUCUUGACUGCCUGUCCUACUGCCUACAGAAGUAUGCCUCCACUGAACUUUUUAUGGAUGCUGGUGUGCCUCUCAUCCAUGCAUUCCUGAUGGCCUUGGUGAAUGGAUGUUUCCCCAGGUUUCUACCAGUGAAAGUCUUAUUAGUUGGCUCACCACCUUGUGCCAGGAGCUAUCUGUGCUCCACAUACCAGUCACAAUGGAGCCUCCACUGAGCUUCUUCCUUGCAAGCCAGAUGGUGAGUGAUCUGGUCCUUGAUAUUUCUAUCUCCUUUCCUGGUACCAAGUGUCUCCAUUAGGGUCUUCCGGGAAAGAGACACCAUGAUAGAAUCAGAAGUAAAAGACAUUUAUUAGAGAGAUACCUGUGAAGGUAAAGGGGGGAGAAAUCAGAAGUAGGUGGGAGAGCCUCAACCGUAAGGCCAGGCUGACUCCCAUGGAGAGAGAGACACACAGCUGAGAAUUUGGUUGGAAGAGCCUUAGACUAUAGUGAAGCUCUGAAAAGAUCUUGGCCAAACCUGUAGGGUCAGGGGGAGGCCCAGAGCAGAGACUAGCUGUGAGAGGAGUACUGGAUUGUGCAGGAAUGGUCUGGUCUAGGGUUUGGGCCUUGGUGUGGUCAUUAGCUGGGAGCAGCCCAGGGAGUGAAUUGCCUUGGUAUAGACACUGAUAGAUCACUAAAGUAUGGCAACUGGAAACUGUGGAUAAUGCCACUCUUCCUACUGUGUUCUCCUAAAGGGGAUUUAAGUGACUAGGGCAUUUUAAUGCUUAGAAUAUUCUAUAUUCUAACCCAAGACGUGGUGACAUAGGUGUGUAUACUUUGUGAUAAUUAAUCUAGUCAUGUACAUAGGAUUUGAGUACUUUUUUAUAUGCAUUUUGUGCAAGUAUGUAUGUUAUGCAAAUAAAUUUACUAUAAAAAUGUCAAGUAAAGAAUCGAAGCUACUAUUCUGAAUAAUUCUAACGUGAUAUUCUAAAAACAACCCUAGCCCUAGAAACAACCAUCUAGUGAAUUACAAGUAGUUUUGUUUUUAUGUGUGUUAGGGAAUUGCCUCAUUUCUUCCACCACACUCUGUACAAUCUCAAAAUAAUGAGUUAUCUCUGCAUAUUUUAUAGUAACUGAA
This is a long non-coding RNA of Felis catus (domestic cat), 1214 nucleotides long. RefSeq lists it as uncharacterized. The transcript has 3 exons. NCBI's taxonomy places the organism in Eukaryota, Metazoa, Chordata, Mammalia, Carnivora, Felidae. The record is from RefSeq and is a predicted model, not a curated record.